AAGCCUGCCUGGUUGAUGUCUUCCCACUGAAACGGUGCGUUUGCCCCCCUCGUUUCCACUGCAACUUCUCUCUCUCACAUUUCAACAGUCAUAAACACUUUCGCUCCGAAUCCGAAAAUCCAGUACAAAGCAGAAUUCAACUCCAUCAUCAUCAUCAUCAUCAUCAUCAUCAAUAGAUCAGAGCCGUGGAUCGGAGUGGACCUGAAACAUGGUGCUGAUAUCGGCCGUACGCGAUUACAUCAACCGGAUGUUACAGGACAUCUCGGGCAUGAAGGUUCUCAUCCUCGAUUCUCACACGGUUAGUAUAGUUAGUGUUGGGUAUUCACAGUCAGAACUUCUUCAGAAAGAAGUAUUCUUGGUAGAAUUGGUAGAUUCCAUUUACAAAUCAAAAGAACCAAUGUCACAUCUUAAAGCGGUUUACUUCCUUCGGCCCACUUCAGAGAAUAUCCAGCAUUUGCGGCAACAGCUAGCUAGUCCUAGAUUUGGAGAGUACCACCUAUUUUUCUCCAACAUAUUGAAGGAUACUCAGAUUCAUAAUUUAGCUGAUGCAGAUGAACAGGAAGUUGUUCAGCAGAUCCAGGAAUUUUAUGCGGACUUUGUAGCAAUUGAUCCUUACCAUUUCACUUUGAAUAUGCUGUCAAAUCACAUUUAUAUGCUCCCAGCAGUUGUAGAUCCUUCAAAUUCGCAGCACUUCUGUGACCGAGUUGUUGAUGGUAUUGCAUCCAUUUUUUUGGCCUUAAAAAGAAGACCUAUUAUUAGAUAUCAAAGGAAUUCUGAUAUUGCUAAGAGGAUUGCACAGGAAACAGCUAAGCUGAUGUACCAGCAGGAAAGUGGGCUUUUUGAUUUCAGGCGAAUGGAAGUUUCCCCAUUGUUGCUGGUAAUUGAUAGGAGGGAUGAUCCUGUGACCCCUUUGCUAAACCAGUGGACCUAUCAGGCAAUGGUUCAUGAAUUGAUAGGCAUUCAAGACAACAAGGUGGAUUUGAGAAACAUUGGCAAACUUCCAAAGGAUCAACAGGAGGUUGUGUUGUCAUCAGAACAAGAUGCCUUUUUCAAAGCUAACAUGUAUGAGAAUUUUGGAGAUAUUGGGAUGAAUAUCAAGCGAUUGGUAGAUGAAUUUCAGCAGAUUUCAAAGAGUAACCAGAGCAUCCAGACAAUAGAAGACAUGGCCAAAUUUGUUGACAAGUACCCUGAGUACAGAAAAAUGCAUGGAAAUGUUUCAAAGCAUGUGACAUUGGUCACAGAAAUGAGCAAGAUAGUUGAAGAGAGAAAACUCAUGUUAGUUUCAGAAACAGAGCAGGAGUUGGCUUGUAAUGGUGGUCAAGUGGCAGCAUUUGAGGCAGUGACAAAUCUUUUAAACAAUGAAAGUGUAUCUGAUAUUGACCGUUUACGCUUAGUGAUGCUUUAUGCUUUGCGCUAUGAGAAGGAAAGCCCUGUUCAAUUGAUGCAACUUUUCAACAAACUGGCUUCUCGGUCUGCCAAGUACAAACCAGGGCUUGUCCAGUUCGUCUUGAAGCAAGCAGGGGUUGAUAAGCGAACUGGGGAUCUUUUUGGAAAUCGAGAUCUUUUGAAUAUUGCUCGUAACAUGGCUCGUGGACUGAAGGGGGUUGAGAAUGUUUACACCCAGCACCAGCCCCUUUUGUUCCAAACCAUGGAAAGCAUUUCCAAGGGACGGUUGAGAGAUGUGGACUACCCAUAUGUUGGCAAUCACUUUCAGCAGGGCAGGCCACAGGAAGUAGUCAUAUUCAUUGUUGGAGGGACGACAUAUGAAGAGUCACGUUCUGUUGCUUUACAAAAUGCCAGCAAUUCUGGAAUUCGUUUUAUACUCGGUGGUUCUGUGGUUCUGAAUUCUAAGAGGUUUCUGAAAGACUUGGAAGAAGCUCAAAGGAUAGCUCGUUCUAGCACAGCAGUGAUUUGAAGGCCCAUCAUAUGGGUCUUGAGAGCCAAUAGAUAAUUUUUAUGGCUUUAUACAGAGCUUUUGACUUGGUGACUGGUGGUGGUAAGAUUGUUAAUGAAUAUUGGGAAGAGGAACUUGAUGAUCAUCAGAAUCAACCCACCUUUCUUGCAUAAGACAUCCAAUAUUCACCAAUUUGCAAAGGAAUAAAAAGAAAUAGGUUUUUUGGAGACUAAACCCAUUGUGUAUUGGAAUAUGAGAUAUUACUAGAUAUUACUGAUUCGCGAGAAACAAUUUGCAGACAGCCUUAUUGCUUGUUUAACAACACUACCUUGCCUUGUGAACGAAAAUGUAAAAUCAUACAAUUUUUUUUCUUUCUUUUUUGGAUUGUAUAGAUGCUUGAUUUAUCCUAGGUAGUUUUGUACUUGGACCAUAUUGUGAAAAGUUACAGCUGAGCAUAUGGUUGAGCCAGGGCCAGGGGUUUUGUUUAUACUUUAGCAAUCAAUGUUCUGGUGAAAUGGGAAAUUUAUGAAUAUUUGUGUAUGCAUAACUGGUAUUGAAACUUUUGCUAUUACAUAUAUUUUGAUCAUGUUUUCUGGUGAA
RNA transcript from Quercus robur (English oak), 2494 nucleotides. It is a transcript of the gene named vacuolar protein sorting-associated protein 45 homolog, with no coding region annotated. The record is from RefSeq and is a predicted model, not a curated record. The transcript has 14 exons. NCBI's taxonomy places the organism in Eukaryota, Viridiplantae, Streptophyta, Magnoliopsida, Fagales, Fagaceae.